UAAUAAUAAUAAUGUCUAACUGGUAUCUGAGCAGGGCUGGGGCACUUAAUAAUAAUAAUAUUAUUAAGCCCCCCAGCCCUGCUCGGAUACCAGCUAGAUGAUAUUAUUAUUA
Non-coding RNA from Pelobates cultripes (western spadefoot toad), 112 nucleotides. NCBI's taxonomy places the organism in Eukaryota, Metazoa, Chordata, Amphibia, Anura, Pelobatidae. The record is from the annotation of a GenBank genome assembly.